CAGAGAUGUAUUGAAAGACUGGAGAGAGAAGGAUGGUGACUUUCUCCCCAGAUAACCAGCAUGUAGAACACUUGUGGAAGAGAUGGAGUUGCACUUACAGAUCUGAUGGAUGGCCUCCAUGGCGACGGUAGCAUUAAUCUUGAUGGAUGACCUGAAGAGAUGAGAUGCUGCUGGAAACUAAUCCAGAUACCUAAGGAGGAGAUGAACUUGGAAUAAACUUCAAUGUGGACAUGUGGAACCAGAACAUUUGGAGGAAGUUUGGAUUCAUCCACAUUCUCAGCCUGAACAUAGAUGAGAUUUGACAAAGAUCAGAUCUGCUGAAGGUCAUCAAAUACCUGAACCCGGAUCUAAAGUCUUCAUUCCCAACCUGCAGAUGGUGUAUUAGACUGGAGACAGCUUUGAAUCCUAAAACCUGACCAGACCCCAGACCUACAUCAACCAGUAACCCUGACGAGGAGUGUUGAGCUGAGGUCUGAUGUCAUCUUCCUGGUUAAUGCGUCUGGACUG
This is a long non-coding RNA of Melanotaenia boesemani (Boeseman's rainbowfish), 507 nucleotides long. RefSeq lists it as uncharacterized. The record is from RefSeq and is a predicted model, not a curated record. NCBI's taxonomy places the organism in Eukaryota, Metazoa, Chordata, Actinopteri, Atheriniformes, Melanotaeniidae. The transcript is spliced from 6 exons.